Molecule: ribosomal RNA, 2921 nt
Filed under: Lactiplantibacillus plantarum
Lineage: Bacteria; Bacillati; Bacillota; Bacilli; Lactobacillales; Lactobacillaceae
Description: 23S ribosomal RNA
Rfam family: Bacterial large subunit ribosomal RNA
Source: RNAcentral
GGUUAAGUUAACAAGGGCGCAUGGUGAAUGCCUUGGCACUAGGAGCCUAUGAAGGACGGGACUAACACCGAUAUGCUUCGGGGAGCUGUACGUAAGCUAUGAUCCGGAGAUUUCCGAAUGGGGCAACCCAGCAGUUUUAAUCAACUGUUACCACUAGAUGAAUUCAUAGUCUAGUUGGAGGUAAACGCUGUGAACUGAAACAUCUCAUUAGCAGCAGGAAUAUAAAGAAAUUUCGAUUCCCUAAGUAGCGGCGAGCGAACGGGGAACAGCCCAAACCAAAGUGCUUGCACUUUGGGGUUGUAGGACUGAACAUUUGAGUUACCAAAGAACUUGAUAGUCGAAGGAUUUGGGAAAAUCCGCCAUAGAUGGUGAUAGCCCAGUAGAUUAAAUCAAAUUCUCUCAGUUCAGGAUCCUGAGUACGGCGGAACACGUGAAAUUCCGUCGGAAUCCGGGAGGACCAUCUCCCAAGGCUAAAUACUACCUAGUGACCGAUAGUGAACCAGUACCGUGAGGGAAAGGUGAAAAGCACCCCGGGAGGGGAGUGAAAUAGUUCCUGAAACCAUGUGCCUACAAUAAGUCAGAGCGCGUUAAUGCGUGAUGGCGUGCCUUUUGUAGAAUGAACCGGCGAGUUAUGAUCCCGUGCAAGGUUAAGACUAAAAAGUCGGAGCCGUAGCGAAAGCGAGUCUGAAAUGGGCGUUUUGAGUACGAGGUUAUAGACCCGAAACCAGGUGACCUAUCCAUGUCCAGGUUGAAGGUGCGGUAAAACGCACUGGAGGACCGAACCCGUGUAAGUUGAAAAUUGCUGGGAUGAGGUGUGGAUAGCGGUGAAAUUCCAAACGAACUUGGAGAUAGCUGGUUCUCUCCGAAAUAGCUUUAGGGCUAGCCUCGGAAUUAGGAUCAUGGAGGUAGAGCACUAUUUGGACUAGGGGCCCGUCUUGGGUUACUGAAUUCAGAUAAACUCCGAAUGCCAUUGAUUCAUAUCCGGGAGUCAGACGAUGAGUGAUAAGAUCCACCGUCGAAAGGGGAACAGCCCAGACCAUCAGUUAAGGUCCCUAAAUGUAUGCUAAGUGGAAAAGGAUGUGGAGUUGCAUAGACAACUAGGAUGUUGGCUCAGAAGCAGCCACCAUUUAAAGAGUGCGUAAUAGCUCACUAGUCGAGUGAUCCUGCGCCGAAAAUGUACCGGGGCUAAGCAUACUACCGAAACCAUGGAUGCGACCAUUAGGUCGCGUGAUAGGAGAGCGUUCUAAGGGCGGUGAAGCAAGAUCGUGAGGACUUGUGGAGCGCUUAGAAGUGAGAAUGCCGGUAUGAGUAGCGAAAGAUAGGUGAGAAUCCUAUCCACCGAAUGACUAAGGUUUCCUGGGGAAGGCUCGUCCUCCCAGGGUUAGUCGGGACCUAAGUCGAGGCCGAGAGGCGUAGACGAUGGAUAACAGGUUGAGAUUCCUGUACUAGUUAAGUGCGUUUGAGCAAUGGAGGGACGCAGGAGGCUAAGAUGUGCAUUCUGUUGGAUUAGAAUGUCCAAGCAGUAAGUCUUGUGAAGAGUCAAAUGCUUUUCACUUUAAGGACAAGCUGUGAUGGGGAGCGAAAUUUAGUAGCGAAGCGUCUGAUGUCACACUGCCGAGAAAAGCUUCUAGUGAGUACUUAACUACCCGUACCGCAAACCGACACAGGUAGUCGAGGAGAGAAUCCUAAGGUGAGCGAGUGAACUCUCGUUAAGGAACUCGGCAAAAUGACCCCGUAACUUCGGGAGAAGGGGUGCUGAUCGCAAGAUCAGCCGCAGUGAAUAGGCCCAGGCGACUGUUUAUCAAAAACACAGGUCUCUGCAAAAUCGUAAGAUGACGUAUAGGGGCUGACGCCUGCCCGGUGCUGGAAGGUUAAAAGGAUGGGUUAGCUUCGGCGAAGCUCAGAAUUGAAGCCCCAGUAAACGGCGGCCGUAACUAUAACGGUCCUAAGGUAGCGAAAUUCCUUGUCGGGUAAGUUCCGACCCGCACGAAAGGCGUAACGAUCUGGGCACUGUCUCAACGAGAGACUCGGUGAAAUUAUAUUGUCCGUGAAGAUGCGGACUACCCGCGACAGGACGGAAAGACCCCAUGGAGCUUUACUGUAGCUUGAUAUUGAGUGUUUGUACAGCUUGUACAGGAUAGGUAGGAGCCAUAGAAACCGGAACGCUAGUUUCGGUGGAGGCGUUGGUGGGAUACUACCCUCGCUGUAUGACCACUCUAACCCGCACCACUAAUCGUGGUGGGAGACAGUGUCAGGUGGGCAGUUUGACUGGGGCGGUCGCCUCCUAAAAAGUAACGGAGGCGCCCAAAGGUUCCCUCAGAAUGGUUGGAAAUCAUUCGCAGAGUGUAAAGGCACAAGGGAGCUUGACUGCGAGACAGACAGGUCGAGCAGGGACGAAAGUCGGGCUUAGUGAUCCGGUGGUACCGUAUGGAAGGGCCAUCGCUCAACGGAUAAAAGCUACCCUGGGGAUAACAGGCUUAUCUCCCCCAAGAGUCCACAUCGACGGGGAGGUUUGGCACCUCGAUGUCGGCUCAUCGCAUCCUGGGGCUGUAGUCGGUCCCAAGGGUUGGGCUGUUCGCCCAUUAAAGCGGUACGCGAGCUGGGUUCAGAACGUCGUGAGACAGUUCGGUCCCUAUCCGUCGCGGGCGUAGGAAAUUUGAGAGGACCUGUCCUUAGUACGAGAGGACCGGGAUGGACAUACCUCUGGUGUACCAGUUGUGCCGCCAGGCGCAUCGCUGGGUAGCUACGUAUGGAUGUGAUAAACGCUGAAAGCAUCUAAGUGUGAAACACACCUCGAGAUGAGAUUUCCCAUUCCUUUAUGGAAGUAAGACCCCUGAAAGAUGAUCAGGUAGAUAGGUUAGAAGUGGCAGUGCGGUGACGCAUGAAGCGGACUAAUACUAAUCGGUCGAGGACUUAACCAA